GAUGAAGAACGUAGCGAAAUGCGAUAAGUAAUGUGAAUUGCAGAAUUCAGUGAAUCAUCGAAUCUUUGAACGCAUCUUGCGCUCCUUGGUAUUCUGAGGAGCAUGCCUGUUUGAGUGUCAUUAAAUUCUCAACUACACUGACUUUGAAUUGGUGUGGCUUGGAUUUGGGGGGAAAAUUGUUGUGGGCUUUUUGUAUAGUCUGCUCCCCUGAAAUUGAUUAGCGGUACCUUUGUGGAACUGUCUACAGGUGUGAUAAUUAUCUACAUCUUAGACAUCUGCUGGAAUGCUGCUUUCUAAACCUUACUUGUAUUGACAAUCCUGACCUCAAAUCAGGUAGGACUACCCGCUGAACUUAAGCAUAUCAAUAAGCGGAGGA
Molecule: unclassified non-coding RNA, 376 nt
Filed under: soil metagenome
Description: partial contains 5.8S ribosomal RNA, internal transcribed spacer 2, and large subunit ribosomal RNA
Rfam family: 5.8S ribosomal RNA (bases 1-120)
Source: RNAcentral